This 240-nucleotide ribosomal RNA is filed under the name uncultured bacterium. Its description in RNAcentral is "partial 16S ribosomal RNA". It matches the Rfam family "Bacterial small subunit ribosomal RNA", at positions 46 to 305 of the family's 1533-position model. The record is from RNAcentral.
GUCUAAGGCAUGCAAGUCGAGCGGUACCCUUCGGGGGAGAGCGGCGAACGGGUGAGUAACACGUAGGUUAUCUGCCCCAUAGACUGGGAUAGCUCCUGGAAGCAGGGAUUAAUACCGGAUACACUCGAAAGAGUAAAGGCGCGUUUGCGCCACUAUGGGAUGAGCCUGCGUCCUAUUAGCUUGUUGGUGGGGUAAAAGCCUACCAAGGCGAUGAUAGGUAGCCGAACUGAGAGGUUGAUC